Molecule: ribosomal RNA, 817 nt
Filed under: uncultured organism
Description: bacterial SSU rRNA
Rfam family: Bacterial small subunit ribosomal RNA
Source: RNAcentral
UAACUACGUGCCAGCAGCCGCGGUAAGACGUAGGACGCAAGCGUUAUCCGGAUUUACUGGGCGUAAAGCGCCUGUAGGCGGUCAAGUAAGUCGGAUGUGAAAGCCCCGUGCUCAACGCGGGGAAGCCAUUCGAUACUGCGUGACUAGAGAACGGCAGAGGGAAACGGAAUUUCUGGUGUAGCGGUAAAAUGCGCAGAGAUCAGAAAGAACACCGAUGGCGAAGGCAGUUUCCUAGGCCGCAUCUGACGCUGAGAGGCGAAAGCUAGGGGAGCAAACAGGAUUAGAGACCCUGGUAGUCCUAGCUGUAAACGAUGGAUGCUAGGUGUGGGCCGGAAAGGUCCGUGCCGCAGUUAACGCGAUAAGCAUCCCGCCUGGGGAGUACGGCCGCAAGGCUAAAACUCAAACGAAUUGACGGGGACCCGCACAAGCAGCGGAGCGUGUGGUUUAAUUCGAUGCUACACGCAGAACCUUACCUGGGCUUGACAUGUAGGUGGUAGUGAAGUGAAAGCGGAGCGACCCUUCGGGGAGCCUACACAGGUGCUGCAUGGCUGUCGUCAGCUCGUGCCGUGAGGUGUCGGGUUAAGUCCCGUAACGAGCGCAACCCUUGUCCUUAGUUACAAGUGUCUAAGGAGACUGCCGGUGACAAACCGGAGGAAGGUGGGGAUGACGUCAAGUCAGCAUGGCCCUUAUGUCCAGGGCGACACACACGCUACAAUGGUCGGUACAAUGGGCAGCGCAGCCGCGAGGUGAAGCGAAUCCCAACAAAGCCGAUCCCAGUUCAAUUGCAGGCUGCAACCCGCCUGCAUGAAGCCGGAGU